UACGGAAGAAGGCAGCAGUGGGGAAUAUUGCACAAUGGGCGCAAGCCUGAUGCAGCCAUGCCGCGUGUAUGAAGAAGGCCUUCGGGUUGUAAAGUACUUUCAGUCGUGAGGAAGGUGUUAAGGUUAAUAACCUUAGCAAUUGACGUUAGCGACAGAAGAAGCACCGGCUAACUCCGUGCCAGCAGCCGCGGUAAUACGGAGGGUGCGAGCGUUAAUCGGAAUUACUGGGCGUAAAGGGCACGCAGGCGGUUAAUUAAGUUGGAUGUGAAAUCCCCGGGCUUAACCUGGGAAUGGCAUUCAAGACUGGUUAGCUAGAGUCUUGUAGAGGGGGUAGAAUUCCAUGUGUAGCGGUGAAAUGCGUAGAGAUGUGGAGGAAUACCGGUGGCGAAGGCGGCCCCUGGGACAAAGACUGACGCUCAUGUGCGAAAGCGUGGGGAGCAAACAGGAUUAGGAUACC
Molecule: ribosomal RNA, 457 nt
Filed under: uncultured bacterium
Lineage: Bacteria
Description: bacterial SSU rRNA
Rfam family: Bacterial small subunit ribosomal RNA
Source: RNAcentral